AGAGUUUGAUUAUGGCUCAGAACGAACGCUGGUGGCGUGUCUUAUACAUGCAAGUCGAGCGAGGCAGCAAUGCCGAGCGGCGAACGGGUGAGUAACGCGUAAGCAAUCUGCCCCGUAUCAGGAAAUACCCGUGCCAACGCGCGGUUAAUGUCCAGGAGAGUGGGAGCCUGCAUGGGCUCUUGACUAGAGAUUUAUCGGUACGGGAUGAGCUUGCGUCCGAUUAGCUAGUUGGCGGGGCAACGGCCCACCAAGGCGACGAUCAGUAGCCGACCUGAGAGGGUGAUCGGCCACAUUGGAACUGAGACACGGUCCAAACUCCUACGGGAGGCAGCAGUGGGGAAUAUUGCACAAUGGGCGCAAGCCUGAUGCCAGCAACGCCGCGUGAACGAAGAAGGCUCUUGGGUCGUAAAGUUCUGUUCUGAGGGAAGAAGAUCUGACGGUACCUCAGGAGAAAGCCCCGGCUAACUACGUGCCAGCCGCUGC
RNAcentral lists this ribosomal RNA (483 nucleotides) under uncultured bacterium. Its description in RNAcentral is "bacterial SSU rRNA". It matches the Rfam family "Bacterial small subunit ribosomal RNA", at positions 8 to 518 of the family's 1533-position model. The record is from RNAcentral.